Molecule: long non-coding RNA, 1233 nt
Filed under: Monodelphis domestica (gray short-tailed opossum)
Lineage: Eukaryota; Metazoa; Chordata; Mammalia; Didelphimorphia; Didelphidae
Description: lncRNA (ENSMODG00000044513.1)
Source: RNAcentral
ACUACCAAGAAUUAUACAACUAGAAAAAGUAAUAACAGAAUUCAUCUGGAAGGACAAAAGGUCAAGAAUAUCAAGGGAAUUAAUGAAAAUAAGUGUCAAGAAAGGUGGUCUAGCAGUACCAGAUCUCAAAAUAGUCAGCUUGAGCUAGCCACAAAAUCUGGCACAGAAUCUGACUCCUGGACCUCUGAUGGCUCACCAUUCCGACUUUUUGAAGCUCACAGGACCAUAGCUAUCUCCAGACUCCACCAAAGAGCAGGGAAGAACAAAUGUAAAGAGGCAGAGAACAUGCCUACCUGUCAGCCCCAAAUGGAAAGGUCUUUCUCCAUCAGAAGAUGUUUCAGAAGCAUGUUUCUCUCCUUAAAGUCAGAAGGCAAAAAAGAUUGGAGCAUCCCUUUGGUCUUUUGAAUUUACCCCAGUUCUAGUUGAUCAGUCAAUCAAAAUUCUAUCUCACACUUCUCUAUCUCUUCAUAUGGUUAGCAGACUAGAACGAGCUACUUAAUGUGUGUUCAUGCUCAAUGUAGGGAUUGCAUAAACAGAGUUUGCUAAAAAUGCUGAAAUGACUGGGCUUAUUAGCUAGGUCCCUGCCCCAUCUAUAUUUUAUCUUAGAGACAAUGGAGAACCACUGUAGGGAACUGAGUAGGGGAAAUCCCUUUGUUAGAGUGGGGAGAAACUUAAAACAGGGAGACCAAUGAGACAGCUACCACAAAAAUACUAAUGAGAAGUGAAAAGGUAUGUACCAAAGUGGUGGCUGUGUGAGUAGGGAAAUGCUAGAUAGGAAAAAUGUGUAAAUGACAAAAAUUGGCAAUGUAUUGGAUAUGAUGGAUAAGGAGAGUGAGAAGUUAAGGAUAAAUCUGAGUUUCUGAACCUGAUAGCCCAUGAUGAUGGUGGUGCUUUGACAAGAAAUAGAAAAGUUUAGAAAAGAGGUGGUGGGAGUGUUGGAGAGAAGAGAGAAGAUAAUCAAUUUUUUUUAACAUAUUGAGAUAUUCAUGGGAUUUCCAGUUUCAAAUGUCACCAAGCAGUUGACAGUGCAGGACUAGAGCUCAGGAGAAAGACAAGGGCUGGAUAGAAAGAUCUGGGAAUCUUCUGCAGAGAGAUGAUCAUUAAACACAUUGGAGCUGAUGAGGAUAGCAGAGAUGAUAUCUAGAAUGUUUACCUGAGUGACUAGAAGAAUGGUGUCACUCUUGACAGACAUGGGAAAAUAAAAGGAGGUGAUACAGAGUUAGAGACCUGGUU